UACGUAGGGUGCGAGCGUUAUUCGGAAUUACUGGGCGUAAAGCGUGCGCAGGCGGUUUUGUAAGUCAGAUGUGAAAUCCCCGGGCUCAACCUGGGAACUGCGUUUGAAACUGCAAGGCUAGAGUGUAGCAGAGGGGGGUAGAAUUCCACGUGUAGCAGUGAAAUGCGUAGAGAUGUGGAGGAAUACCAAUGGCGAAGGCAGCCCCCUGGGUUAACACCGACGCUCAUGCACGAAAGCGUGGGGAGCAAACAGG
This 253-nucleotide ribosomal RNA is filed under the name uncultured bacterium. RNAcentral describes it as "partial 16S ribosomal RNA". It matches the Rfam family "Bacterial small subunit ribosomal RNA", at positions 524 to 776 of the family's 1533-position model. The record is from RNAcentral.